UUUAAAUAAUGUUGUAUUAAAAACAUCGUUUAUAACAAUCUUAGAGCAAUAGUUUUCAUAAAAUUACUUUUACAUCGCUUUUCAUAAUUACGGCUCAAUUGACGCGGGAAAAAUUAUGGACGGCGGGAAAGCGCUGUUCUACAGAGAGGCACAAGUUUUGCAACGUCACAGAUAUGAAACGUCAAUAUGCUUUUGGUGCGACAAAGCAAGACAAAAACUCAGCAAGAGGACGGCAAGAUUUUGAGACUACAGCAGAGAAAAUAUUGUUCUACAAGCCACUUGCAAAAAGUCUUAAAGUUAUAGAAACAGACGAUUUCCACGACAAGUCAGAGAUGAAGGGUCCUUUUCGAAUCGUCUACGAAUUGCUAUUGUUCAUAAACAAGUUGGCGAAGAUAUGUGAUAUCACAUGCAUUGGAAGAGCAGUGCAAAAUAACACUGAAGCAGAAUUAUGAAACAGUGAUUAAAAACAUUAAAUUGAGAGAGAAAUUUUACAUGUAACUAUAUCAUGCUGUUCAUUCUUAAGAUUACUGUUUGUUGUACUUGCAAUGGAAGUGAAUACAGUAGAUAAAAAGAGAAAGUUAAACAUU
Long non-coding RNA from Mytilus californianus (California mussel), 587 nucleotides. RefSeq lists it as uncharacterized. The transcript is spliced from 2 exons. NCBI's taxonomy places the organism in Eukaryota, Metazoa, Mollusca, Bivalvia, Mytilida, Mytilidae. The record is from RefSeq and is a predicted model, not a curated record.